This 395-nucleotide ribosomal RNA is filed under the name uncultured bacterium. RNAcentral's name for it is "bacterial SSU rRNA". It matches the Rfam family "Bacterial small subunit ribosomal RNA", at positions 32 to 408 of the family's 1533-position model. The record is from RNAcentral.
AAUCAACGCUGGCGGCGUGCCUAACACAUGCAAGUCGAACGCGAAAGUGGAGCAAUCCAUGAGUAGAGUGGCAAACGGGUGAGUAACACGUGGGUGACCUGCCUUCGAGCGGGGGAGUAACGUCCCGAAGGGACGCUAAUACCGCAUAAUAUGCCGCCUUUUAACUAGGUGGACAUCAAAGCUGGGGAGUCGCAAGACCUAGCACUUGAAGAGGGGCCCGCGUCUGAUUAGCAGUUGGUGGGGUAAGUGGCUCACCAAGGCAACGAUCAGUAUCCGGCCUGAGAGGGCGGACGGACACACUGGGACGUGAGACACGGCCCAGACUCCUACGGGAGGCAGCAGUGGGAAUUGUUCGCAAUGGGCGCGAGCCUGACGACGCAACGCCGCGUGGAGGA